GCCUGGGCCUGGUACUGGGCCAGCCUGGCCUCCGCCGUCUGUGCUUGCUCCUUGGGGUUCUGUCCGUCUUCUCUGGGUGGGACCAUCCAGAAAGAUCCCUGUUAUCUGGAAGCAGAAGGAAGAACUUUCUGUGCUCCCACUUGGCUGGGUCAGGGAGCGACUCCUCGCUCCUCAUAAGGCAUGGUAAACCUUGGCUCUGCCCCUGCCUAUACCCCGCACAGAGCAAGGCAGAGGCCUGCUGGCCUGGACUCCCCCACAGAGUCCAGGGGAGGAAGCUCAGAUGGCUCUUCAGAUGGAAAUAACACACCAACAUUAGGACAUGGGUCCUGCUUGUUGAUUCAAAAAAUGGGAAAGCCAUUUUGGAAGAAGAAAGGAAGCUGUUUUUUCUUCUAGAUCCUCCCUCAUUUUUGGAACACUAGGAAGCCUCGGUGUGUAAAUGUGCACCAAGGGUGGUGUACACACAAUCUGGGAGGCAUCGACUGCAGAGAAUUUGGAGAUGACCACCAGGGGUGCCUGCGUGGCCCAGUCCGUUGAGCAGCGGACUUCUGGUUUUCAGCUGGGGUCAUGAUCUCCGGGUUGUGGGAUCGAGCCCACCUUGGGAGUGCUCAGCACAGAAUCUGCUCGUCCCUCUCCCUCUCCCUCUGCCCCUCCCCAGGCUCAUGUGCAUGC
Molecule: long non-coding RNA, 669 nt
Organism: Canis lupus familiaris (dog)
Lineage: Eukaryota; Metazoa; Chordata; Mammalia; Carnivora; Canidae
Exons: 5
Source: RefSeq, a predicted model, not a curated record